Molecule: long non-coding RNA, 633 nt
Organism: Halichondria panicea
Lineage: Eukaryota; Metazoa; Porifera; Demospongiae; Suberitida; Halichondriidae
Exons: 2
Source: RefSeq, a predicted model, not a curated record
AAACUGAUGUCCUAAUUGGCUGCUUUUGGUAUAAUUUCCACUAUGCUAGUACUUUUUAUAAACUGAGCUGUUUGUUGCAUUAAUUGAUAUAAAUACUUAUAUACAUUUACUGAUGGACACCUAAUCUUGGGUGCUGCUUUGUGUGUGUAUACUCACUGACAUGUGCAUGUGUGUCGUGUAGUUGUUGUUUGAUUUGUAGCCAGUGAUGCAGUUUUGUUGUUGGUUGCCGUCAGUUACCGUCAGUUAUCGUAUAUAUCUUUGGAUCAACUAUAAAAUUAAUAGACAUCUGAUCAGUUUUCAUAAUUAGACUAUAGGGCACCUGAACCAUUAUAAUUGUAGGAAAGUUUUAAGUAAUUGUAGGAGCUAGUAUAACAGAAUGAAGGAGUGUGUCAACUUUGCGCUUCUUUUCUUGUUCUUCAUCAAUCUUCUAGGCUUCGGAGAAUGUGGUUGUGGAUACUACAAUCCUAAUUCUAACUUGCUGCAAUGGAGUUGUUCAAUUCAAAACUUCAAGUAGUACAUCUUGCUGUGGUAGUUGUGCUUAUGAUGAUCAUUCUAAAGUUUGCUGCAAUGGAGUUGUUCAAUCCAAGACUUCAAGUAGUACAUCUUGCUGUGGUAGUCGUGCUUAUGAUGAUC